GGAAUAUUGGACAAUGGGGGAAACCCUGAUCCAGCGACGCCGCGUGAGUGAAGAAGUAUUUCGGUAUGUAAAGUUCUAUCAGCAGGGAAGAUAAUGACAGUACCUGACUAAGAAGCACCGGCUAAAUACGUGCCAGCAGCCGCGGUAAUACGUAUGGUGCAAGCGUUAUCCGGAUUUACUGGGUGUAAAGGGAGCGUAGACGGUAAUGUAAGUCUGAUGUGAAAGCCCGGGGCUCAACCCCGGGACUGCAUUGGAAACUAUGUAACUAGAGUACCGGAGAGGUAAGCGGAAUUCCUAGUGUAGCGGUGAAAUGCGUAGAUAUUAGGAGGAACACCAGUGGCGAAGGCGGCUUACUGGACUGUAACUGACGUUGAGGCUCGAAAGCGUGGGGAGCAAAC
This 398-nucleotide ribosomal RNA is filed under the name uncultured bacterium. RNAcentral describes it as "bacterial SSU rRNA". It matches the Rfam family "Bacterial small subunit ribosomal RNA", at positions 358 to 773 of the family's 1533-position model. The record is from RNAcentral.